Mycena leptocephala is the source of this 83-nucleotide non-coding RNA. The record is from the annotation of a GenBank genome assembly. NCBI's taxonomy places the organism in Eukaryota, Fungi, Basidiomycota, Agaricomycetes, Agaricales, Mycenaceae.
GUCCACAUGGUGUAGUGGUAACACAUCCUUUCAAUGCUCUAGGUUUACACGGGAUGAUGCAGGUUCAACUCCCCCUGUGGACA